This 81-nucleotide non-coding RNA is filed under the name Pseudomonas extremaustralis 14-3 substr. 14-3b. RNAcentral's name for it is "Proteo-phage-1 RNA". It matches the Rfam family "Proteo-phage-1 RNA". The record is from Rfam by way of RNAcentral. Lineage: Bacteria; Pseudomonadati; Pseudomonadota; Gammaproteobacteria; Pseudomonadales; Pseudomonadaceae.
CCACAGCCAGGGUGGGCCUUCGGGCAGGGCCUGGACGCGGUAUAGCCGGAAGUCACGCGUUACGGUAGAACACCGGCAGUC